ACUACCUCCUCUCUCCUCUCAUCUCUCUUAUUUUCUCUCAACUUUCUCUCAAAACAAACACCUUGGCCCAACCAUUCUCUCCCAUUUUCACCCAUCUACACUUGUUAUCUUCUCAUGAAAUUUGGGUUUGUUAUUAUCCUCAAGAAGAUCUUUAAGUCGAUGUAAAUUUUGUUGUAAGAUUCCAAGCAAAUCAAGAGUUGAAUCCUCCAAAAAGUAAAGGAAAGGAAGUUUUGGAGGCUUGAUUUGUUAAGGGUUGAGAGGCUUGUUCUGAUCGUGGUGUCCAGCUAAGGUAGAGACAUGGAUAGCUGAGUUGUAGGGUGCACUGAGCUCAAGGAUGAUCUUGAAGACACCUAAUGAUAAAUUUAGACUUCUAUGGUCUGUACUUUGUCUUUAUUUCAUAGGAACUUUGAGAAUAAUUUGACACAUUGAAUGAGGAGUUCAUUGUUAUUUUGGAUAGGAGGUCAGUUAUAGUUCCAGCGCAUGACUCAAUUGCAGCGCCUACUCCAAACACGAGUUAGGAUCCUAGUGACCCUCCUGUCGACACUGUUUCCCCUAAUACAGACACAUUGGCCACUCAACGACAUAUAUUUGAUUUUGGACCGUUUUAGACUUAUUCUCUUAUAUAUACAAUUGUUUAUGACUUUUUCUUUAUGUAUUGAGUCAUAUACCAUUAUUCGAUAA
This is a long non-coding RNA of Jatropha curcas, 681 nucleotides long. RefSeq lists it as uncharacterized. The record is from RefSeq and is a predicted model, not a curated record. NCBI's taxonomy places the organism in Eukaryota, Viridiplantae, Streptophyta, Magnoliopsida, Malpighiales, Euphorbiaceae.